RNAcentral lists this long non-coding RNA (417 nucleotides) under Rattus norvegicus (Norway rat). RNAcentral describes it as "long non-coding RNA NONRATT030139". The record is from RNAcentral. Lineage: Eukaryota; Metazoa; Chordata; Mammalia; Rodentia; Muridae.
UACAGAGGCAAAAUGAACCCAAAGACGGCUCUCCAUAGCCUUUGAUGUGGGCUGAGUCUCUUUAACUCACGUUGAAGGCCGAUGCUACUGGAGAGCCUAGAGGAGUACACGCAACUCACCGUUUUCCUGUACCUGAAAAGAAAUUAGGAGGGAAAAUUGACCGCAAGGGGACUCAGAAAUGUCACCAUUUUUGGCUGUAAAGAGAGAAAUUCGUGCUGCAUGCUGGGCAGCAUCUCUCCUCUGGUAGAUGGUUACAGCUUUAAACCAGCUGAAAAUUUGAGAAUGCAACCUUGGGCCCAGCCUGCUACCUUAAAAAAUGUUAUGGCCGUUGACUGAGUGUAAUGAAGCCCAGCUGUUGUGGUUUCCUCGCUGCUAGUUCUAACAGUGCACACAGAGCUAUAAAUCAAGGAGACACGG